AGUGCCCGGCGCGGCCCGCUAUUCCCUCCCUUUUAGCGGGCCAUGGGAUCCGGCCCCGCCCCCAAGGCCGGGUCCAUCGUCCCCGAAGGCCACACCCCAUGGCCUUCGGGGUUUUUUA
This 118-nucleotide small RNA is filed under the name Spiribacter salinus M19-40. RNAcentral's name for it is "Xanthomonadaceae sRNA sX13". It matches the Rfam family "Xanthomonadaceae sRNA sX13". The record is from Rfam by way of RNAcentral. Lineage: Bacteria; Pseudomonadati; Pseudomonadota; Gammaproteobacteria; Chromatiales; Ectothiorhodospiraceae.